Molecule: ribosomal RNA, 1110 nt
Filed under: Enterococcus durans
Lineage: Bacteria; Bacillati; Bacillota; Bacilli; Lactobacillales; Enterococcaceae
Description: bacterial SSU rRNA
Rfam family: Bacterial small subunit ribosomal RNA
Source: RNAcentral
GGUAACCUGCCCAUCAGAAGGGGAUAACACUUGGAAACAGGUGCUAAUACCGUAUAACAAUCGAAACCGCAUGGUUUUGAUUUGAAAGGCGCUUUCGGGUGUCGCUGAUGGAUGGACCCGCGGUGCAUUAGCUAGUUGGUGAGGUAACGGCUCACCAAGGCCACGAUGCAUAGCCGACCUGAGAGGGUGAUCGGCCACAUUGGGACUGAGACACGGCCCAAACUCCUACGGGAGGCAGCAGUAGGGAAUCUUCGGCAAUGGACGAAAGUCUGACCGAGCAACGCCGCGUGAGUGAAGAAGGUUUUCGGAUCGUAAAACUCUGUUGUUAGAGAAGAACAAGGAUGAGAGUAACUGUUCAUCCCUUGACGGUAUCUAACCAGAAAGCCACGGCUAACUACGUGCCAGCAGCCGCGGUAAUACGUAGGUGGCAAGCGUUGUCCGGAUUUAUUGGGCGUAAAGCGAGCGCAGGCGGUUUCUUAAGUCUGAUGUGAAAGCCCCCGGCUCAACCGGGGAGGGUCAUUGGAAACUGGGAGACUUGAGUGCAGAAGAGGAGAGUGGAAUUCCAUGUGUAGCGGUGAAAUGCGUAGAUAUAUGGAGGAACACCAGUGGCGAAGGCGGCUCUCUGGUCUGUAACUGACGCUGAGGCUCGAAAGCGUGGGGAGCAAACAGGAUUAGAUACCCUGGUAGUCCACGCCGUAAACGAUGAGUGCUAAGUGUUGGAGGGUUUCCGCCCUUCAGUGCUGCAGCUAACGCAUUAAGCACUCCGCCUGGGGAGUACGACCGCAAGGUUGAAACUCAAAGGAAUUGACGGGGGCCCGCACAAGCGGUGGAGCAUGUGGUUUAAUUCGAAGCAACGCGAAGAACCUUACCAGGUCUUGACAUCCUUUGACCACUCUAGAGAUAGAGCUUCCCCUUCGGGGGCAAAGUGACAGGUGGUGCAUGGUUGUCGUCAGCUCGUGUCGUGAGAUGUUGGGUUAAGUCCCGCAACGAGCGCAACCCUUAUUGUUAGUUGCCAUCAUUCAGUUGGGCACUCUAGCAAGACUGCCGGUGACAAACCGGAGGAAGGUGGGGAUGACGUCAAAUCAUCAUGCCCCUUAUGACCUGGGCUAC